This 253-nucleotide ribosomal RNA is filed under the name uncultured prokaryote. Its description in RNAcentral is "partial 16S ribosomal RNA". It matches the Rfam family "Bacterial small subunit ribosomal RNA", at positions 524 to 776 of the family's 1533-position model. The record is from RNAcentral.
UACGUAGGGUGCGGGCGUUAAUCGGAAUUACUGGGCGUAAAGCGUGCGCAGGCGGUUCGUUGUGUCUGCUGUGAAAUCCCCGGGCUCAACCUGGGAAUGGCAGUGGAAACUGGCGAGCUUGAGUGUGGCAGAGGGGGGUGGAAUUCCGCGUGUAGCAGUGAAAUGCGUAGAGAUGCGGAGGAACGCCGAUGGCGAAGGCAACCCCCUGGGCUGACACUGACGCUCAGGCACGAAAGCGUGGGGAGCAAACAGG